AUUUAAUAGUAUUAAACUAUAACUACGAAUUAUAGAAAUGUAAAUCAGAAGAAUUUAUAAAGUUUCAUUGCAUAGUAUUCGAGAUAUUUCAUUUUUUGUGUAUAGAUGACGCCACUUUACAAUCAGUAAGCGUACAAUGUGGCGAGACGAAAGAAGCUCUCCACAGGCUUCCCUGUGGAGAGCUUCUGAAGAAGUCAGCUGGAUUGUAGAAACUGGGGAUCGAAUGUCCAGGCCGGACGCCAUGAAAAAUAUUUUCAAAUUACGAGACUCGAGACUCGAAUCUGGGCCCUCCAGAAUGGAAAGUCAAAGCGUUUCCACUCAUAAAUCCUUCCGACAUGUAAUAUAUGUAUUAAUUAUAUUUGUACCUAUUAAUAUCUAAUUUUUUUCAGGACCUUCAGUUAAAUGCGAGGCCAUAGGACUUCCUCACUCAGUCUGCAAAUUUUAUUGCUUUAAAGUUGCAGGAGUAUCAAAGGCGAACGUAUCAGUUCUUCAAGAAAUAAUAUUCAGAGUAUGAGACGGAAUUGAUUUGUAUAAAAAUAAGAAUUUAAUUCAUAACUUUCUUAUAUCAAAUAUUUUUAUUGGUUCUUUAAUAUAUAAUUAUUUUUAUUGAUCUUUUUUAUGAUCAUAAUUUCAAC
RNAcentral lists this long non-coding RNA (635 nucleotides) under Androctonus crassicauda. Lineage: Eukaryota; Metazoa; Arthropoda; Arachnida; Scorpiones; Buthidae. The record is from RNAcentral.